GACUUCAUGGUGCAACUGGUAGCACGCAAAGCAAAGAAUAAAUACGCUUUGAGAUUUAGAUUCGAUUCCUAAUGAGGUCC
This is a non-coding RNA of Cadophora sp. M221, 80 nucleotides long. Lineage: Eukaryota; Fungi; Ascomycota; Leotiomycetes; Helotiales; Ploettnerulaceae. The record is from the annotation of a GenBank genome assembly.